CCUACGGGAGGCAGCAGUAAGGAAUAUUGGUCAAUGGACGAGAGUCUGAACCAGCCAUGCCGCGUGAAGGAUGAAGGCCCUCUGGGUUGUAAACUUCUUUUAUAGGGGACGAAAAAAGGGAAUUCUUUCCCACUUGACGGUACCCUAGGAAUAAGCACCGGCUAACUCCGUGCCAGCAGCCGCGGUAAUACGGAGGGUGCAAGCGUUAUCCGGAUUUACUGGGUUUAAAGGGUGCGUAGGUGGGCAGUUAAGUCAGUGGUGAAAUCUCCGAGCUUAACUCGGAAACUGCCAUUGAUACUAUCUGUCUUGAAUAUCCUGGAGGUGAGCGGAAUAUGUCAUGUAGCGGUGAAAUGCUUAGAUAUGACAUAGAACACCAAUUGCGAAGGCAGCUCACUACGGGAUUAUUGACACUGAGGCACGAAAGCGUGGGGAUCAAACAGGAUUAGAUACCCUGGUAGUCCACGCCCUAAACUAUGGAUACUCGACAUCAGCGAUACACUGUUGGUGUCUGAGCGAAAGCAUUAAGUAUCCCACCUGGGAAGUACGAUCGCAAGAUUGAAACUUAAAUGAAAUUGACGG
Molecule: ribosomal RNA, 579 nt
Filed under: uncultured bacterium
Lineage: Bacteria
Description: bacterial SSU rRNA
Rfam family: Bacterial small subunit ribosomal RNA
Source: RNAcentral